GACGAACGCUGGCGGCGUGCUUAACACAUGCAAGUCGAACGGAAAGGCCCCCAUCUUGGUGGGGGUGCUCGAGUGGCGAACGGGUGAGUAACACGUGGGUGAUCUGCCCUGUACUUCGGGAUAAGCUUGGGAAACUGGGUCUAAUACCGGAUAGGACCAUGGUUUAGUGUCUCAUGGUGGAAAGAUUAUUGUUUUGGUGCAGGAUGAGCUCGCGGCCUAUCAGCUUGUUGGUGGGGUAAUGGCCUACCAAGGCGUCGACGGGUAGCCGGCCUGAGAGGGUGGACGGCCACAUUGGGACUGAGAUACGGCCCAGACGCCUACGGGAGGCAGCAGUGGGGAAUAUUGCACAAUGGGCGCAAGCCUGAUGCAGCGACGCCGCGUGGGGGAUGACGGCCUUCGGGUUGUAAACUCCUUUCGUUAGGGACGAAGCCACGCUUGUUGGGUGUGGUGACGGUACCUUUGUUAAGAAGCACCGGCUAACUACGUG
Molecule: ribosomal RNA, 487 nt
Filed under: uncultured bacterium
Lineage: Bacteria
Description: partial 16S ribosomal RNA
Rfam family: Bacterial small subunit ribosomal RNA
Source: RNAcentral